RNAcentral lists this long non-coding RNA (660 nucleotides) under Nicotiana tabacum (common tobacco). RNAcentral describes it as "long non-coding RNA (NTAB_LNC014330)". Lineage: Eukaryota; Viridiplantae; Streptophyta; Magnoliopsida; Solanales; Solanaceae. The record is from RNAcentral.
GAAAACAAAAAAUUCUACACUCAAAAGGAGCAACCACCGGCCACAUCACCCAUUUUUCCACCCUCUUACUGCCGCCGCCAGCCCCACACUUCAAGUCACCGCCACAUACAUACACAGCGCUCCGCUCACUCAUUAUCAGUAUUUUCAUUUCAUUCAAUCAAAAUUUCCCAAAAAAGCAAAAGCCCAAAAGCAUCCUGAUUCAUUGGGUGAAGAAAUAGCCCCUCAUUUACAUAUGUAGCAGCAAUUGCUUACACUGAGAGCAACUCAGACUCAACGUGGGACAAAUUGAAAGCACUUCUAAUCUCAUGAUGGUCUUCGAUUUCUUUAGUUUAGUUUAAUUCAAAUUUUUUGGCGAGCUCAAAGUUCCUCGAAGGUCGUCGAGCCCCUGUUUACUGUUCCGGUUAUGGUCGUUUUCCGGUUUGGUCUUAUGAGUUGCAAUUUGAAUUCAUCAAUAAAGGUCGGAUUUCUCCAUGUUUAUCCUUUGUUAUGUGUUUCUUUAAGUUAUCCUACUGUUGAUAUUGAACAAAUGAAAUUCCUACUUUGAGUGUUUAUUUCAAUUUGUAUUAUGCUUGUGAUUGUACCGCCUAUGAUUGAUGAUUUGUUUAUUUAUGAAUUUAUUGGUUAUGUAGAUGAACUUGUUUUGUUUUUUAUGAAUACUUU